RNAcentral lists this ribosomal RNA (301 nucleotides) under uncultured bacterium. RNAcentral's name for it is "partial 16S ribosomal RNA". It matches the Rfam family "Bacterial small subunit ribosomal RNA", at positions 509 to 807 of the family's 1533-position model. The record is from RNAcentral.
CAGCAGCCACGGUAAUACGGAGGGGGCUAGCGUUGUUCGGAAUUACUGGGCGUAAAGCGCACGUAGGCGGCUUGGUAAGUUAGAGGUGAAAGCCCGGAGCUCAACCCCGGAAUUGCCUUUAAGACUGCCGAGCUAGUAGGUGAGAGAGGUAAGUGGAAUUCCGAGUGUAGAGGUGAAAUUCGUAGAUAUUCGGAAGAACACCAGUGGCGAAGGCGGCUUACUGGCUCAUUCUAGACGCUGAGGUGCGAAAGCGUGGGGGGCAAACAGGAUUAGAUACCCGUGUAGUCUCUGUCUCUUAUAC